This 520-nucleotide ribosomal RNA is filed under the name uncultured Streptomyces sp. Its description in RNAcentral is "bacterial SSU rRNA". It matches the Rfam family "Bacterial small subunit ribosomal RNA", at positions 145 to 676 of the family's 1533-position model. Lineage: Bacteria; Bacillati; Actinomycetota; Actinomycetes; Kitasatosporales; Streptomycetaceae. The record is from RNAcentral.
AAGCCCUGGAAACGGGGUCUAAUACCGGAUGGGACUGCCGGCCGCAUGGUCUGGUGGUGGAAAGCGUUUAGUGGUGCAGGAUGAGCCCGCGGCCUAUCAGCUUGUUGGUGGGGUGAGUGCCUACCAAGGCGACGACGGGUAGCCGGCCUGAGAGGGCGACCGGCCACACUGGGACUGAGACACGGCCCAGACUCCUACGGGAGGCAGCAGUGGGGAAUAUUGCACAAUGGGCGGAAGCCUGAUGCAGCGACGCCGCGUGGGGGAUGACGGCCUUCGGGUUGUAAACCUCUUUCAGCAGGGUAGAAGCCGCAAGUGACGGUACCUGCAGAAGAAGCACCGGCUAACUACGUGCCAGCAGCCGCGGUAAUACGUAGGGUGCAAGCGUUGUCCGGAAUUAUUGGGCGUAAAGAGCUCGUAGGCGGCGUGUCACGUCGGAUGUGAAAGCCCGGGGCUUAACCCCGGGUUUGCAUUCGAUACGGGCAGGCUAGAGUUCGGUAGGGGAGAUCGGAAUUCCUGGUGC